Molecule: ribosomal RNA, 273 nt
Filed under: uncultured bacterium
Lineage: Bacteria
Description: partial 16S ribosomal RNA
Rfam family: Bacterial small subunit ribosomal RNA
Source: RNAcentral
UACGUAGGGGGCAAGCGUUGUCCGGAAUCAUUGGGCGUAAAGCGCGUGUAGGCGGCUCAGUAAGUCGGUUCUGAAAGCCCGGGGCUCAACUCCGGGAGGUGGACCGAUACUGCUGGGCUAGAGUCCGGAAGAGGCGAGUGGAAUUCCUGGUGUAGCGGUGAAAUGCGCAGAUAUCAGGAGGAACACCUAUGGCGAAGGCAGCUCGCUGGGACGGUACUGACGCUGAGACGCGAAAGCGUGGGGAGCAAACAGGAUUAGAAACCCCCGUAGUCC